CCUACGGGUGGCAGCAGUCGAGAAUCAUUCACAAUGGGGGAAACCCUGAUGGUGCGACGCCGCGUGGGGGAAUGAAGGUCUUCGGAUUGUAAACCCCUGUCAUGUGGGAGCAAAUUAAAAAGAUAGUACCACAAGAGGAAGAGACGGCUAACUCUGUGCCAGCAGCCGCGGUAAUACAGAGGUCUCAAGCGUUGUUCGGAAUCACUGGGCGUAAAGCGUGCGUAGGCUGUUUCGUAAGUCGUGUGUGAAAGGCGCGGGCUCAACCCGCGGACGGCACAUGAUAACGCGAGACUAGAGUAAGGGAGGGGGAACCGGAAUGCUCGGUGUAGCAGUGAAAUGCGUAGAUAUCGAGAGGAACACUCGUGGCGAAGGCGGGUUCCUGGACAUUAACUGACGCUGAGGCACGAAGGCCAGGGGAGCGAAAGGGAUUAGAUACCCUUGUAGUC
This 446-nucleotide ribosomal RNA is filed under the name uncultured bacterium. Its description in RNAcentral is "partial 16S ribosomal RNA". It matches the Rfam family "Bacterial small subunit ribosomal RNA", at positions 338 to 795 of the family's 1533-position model. The record is from RNAcentral.